AUACAAUUUCUUUACCAAUAGAUAAGACUGAAAGCAACACCAGCCAGUCUUGGGAAAUAUAAAGUCACAAAUAAAUUUUGAUAAUUUUUCAUUUCGUAAAGGAUCUUUCUGCUGAUGCAGCUGUUAAGAGUGUUUCAUAAACUGUGACAACACUAAGAGGCCAGGUGCAGUGCAUGUAAUCCCAGCACUUUGGGAGACUGAGAUGGGAAGAUCGCUUGAGGCCAGGAGUGCAAGACCAGCCUGGGCAACACAGCAAGACCUUGAUUCUACUAAAAAAAAAAAAGGAUCCUUCAACUUCAACAAUAAUAACACAAGGGAAGUGAAGAAAAACACUUUCUAAGGAAAUCUCUCUCUGAGCUACCAUCCUGCUAGGGAGAGCCUGAAAGCAGAAUGCUGACUUGACUAGCUCUGGUCAAUGAAAGAAAUCACCAGUGGAAAGGCUACCAGGGGGCUUUCUCAAAAGAGAGGGACAGU
This 474-nucleotide long non-coding RNA is filed under the name Homo sapiens (human). RNAcentral's name for it is "SRD5A3 antisense RNA 1". Lineage: Eukaryota; Metazoa; Chordata; Mammalia; Primates; Hominidae. The record is from RNAcentral.